ACGCACGCUGGCGGCGUGCCUAAUACAUGCAAGUCGAACGAGAGCGACCGGUGCUUGCACUGGUCAAUCUAGUGGCGAACGGGUGAGUAACACGUGGGUAACCUGCCCAUCAGAGGGGGAUAACAUCCGGAAACGGAUGCUAAAACCGCAUAGGUCUUCGAACCGCAUGGUUUGAAGAGGAAAAGAGGCGCAAGCUUCUGCUGAUGGAUGGACCCGCGGUGCAUUAGCUAGUUGGUGAGGUAACGGCUCACCAAGGCCGUGAUGCAUAGCCGACCUGAGAGGGUGAUCGGCCACAUUGGGACUGAGACACGGCCCAAACUCCUACGGGAGGCAGCAGUAGGGAAUCUUCCGCAAUGGACGCAAGUCUGACGGAGCAACGCCGCGUGAGUGAAGAAGGUUUUCGGAUCGUAAAACUCUGUUGUUAGAGAAGAACAAGUGCUAGAGUAACUGUUAGCGCCUUGACGGUAUCUAACCAGAAAGCCACGGCUAACUACGUG
This 497-nucleotide ribosomal RNA is filed under the name uncultured bacterium. RNAcentral's name for it is "partial 16S ribosomal RNA". It matches the Rfam family "Bacterial small subunit ribosomal RNA", at positions 29 to 507 of the family's 1533-position model. The record is from RNAcentral.